AAGACUAUACUUUCUGGGAUCAUUUUUAUAGCAUGUUACUAGAGAAGCUUCUCUGACCGUGAGAGUACCAGAAACCCCUGGAAGGG
Molecule: small nucleolar RNA, 86 nt
Filed under: Cavia porcellus (domestic guinea pig)
Lineage: Eukaryota; Metazoa; Chordata; Mammalia; Rodentia; Caviidae
Description: Small nucleolar RNA U3
Rfam family: Small nucleolar RNA U3
About the family: Small nucleolar RNAs (snoRNAs) are involved in the processing and modification of rRNA in the nucleolus. There are two main classes of snoRNAs: the box C/D class, and the box H/ACA class. U3 snoRNA is a member of the box C/D class.
Source: Rfam by way of RNAcentral